AUUCUGUUUCUUCAUGUCUUUAUGAAACCUUCAGUUCCACGAUACCUUCUGGACGUAAACAAUGACAGUCCUUUUUGUCCUCAUUCCCUGGAUCCUCCUCUCUUUGGAGACAGACCCUGGACAUGCAGUCUCCUCUGUUGAUCACUUCGUCUUAGAAGGAGGACAGAUUCAUCUUACUGUGGAGGGACACCAGCAGCUGCAGUUCAGAAGAUUUUCUUGGAAGUUCAAUUCAACAGUCAUACUGGAGUACACAAAUUUGACUAUGCAUGAGGAAUAUUUGUCAUACUAUAAACAAGCAAAGAUGAAAUUUAAUUCCACAGACCUUUCUCUGUUCAUUAAGAACGUGGAGGAGUCUGAAAUGGGCAUCUAUACUGCUGUCAUAGCUAAUGCUGAGGGGAAAGAAAUCGUGGAACACAAGUACAACCUACGUGUGCAAAAGGCUGUUCCCAAACCCACCCUAAAUCUGAAAGAAUUCCACCUGAACUUCACUGAAAGAUUCUGCAACGUGUCAGUGAACUGCUCAGUCGGAGGCAGCUGGGUCUCGUACAGCUGUGAUUGGUUCCAGUGCACAGAGUUAGAAAUGUCCACUUAUUUAGAAGUAAAUAUCACGGUUACCUCUCGCAAUGGAGCUGUUGUCUGUAUGGGCAGCAAUCGUGUCAGCAAUGCCUCCGAGUCAAAACCAGUGGAGCUUGCGUGUGUGAAAAACCACACAUCCAAGCUCUCCCAAGAAAUAUAUACUGUGAUAGCUACAAUCUGUGCGUUCCUAAUAAUUGUUGCGUUCAUAUAUGUAGUUAAACGACACAACGUUUCUCACAAACAUACUAUCACACAGAGCAAUGGCUCAACAGAAACGGACACCUUUUACUCAAUUCCAAGGAGCCAAAGAAUGCAACAGGAGCUAAAUGACAGCCAAGCAAAACCAGAAACUGUAUAUGCCACACUGGGACAACCACCACAGCAAGUGGCCCACACUGCAGUAAUACCAAGACUGGAAGAUCCUGUGUCUUUGUACAGCGUGGUGAGGAAGUGACUUGGCCUUUUUCACCUUGUGCUGAAAGCUGCAUAGGAGCUUUAGAGUGCCGAUGCUUUGAACACCUCUUAUGCUCUCUUCCGGGCUUCUGUUGAAAACACCCAAGUGGCAUAAAUAACUCAAAGUGUCAGCAGACAUAAUCUACUAGGUUGUAUGCCAUUGAAUGUGUAGAUGAGUGUGGGUGUGUGUGUGUGUCUGUGCGAUUUCAACAACUGCCUCCGAAUGGCCAUUUAAAACCUGAGAACUAUAAAUCUUUGUAUUAAUAUUGGUAUUUACCAUGCAACUGUUACAUGACAUGACUGUUGUACGUUCUGCCAAUGGGCAAAUUGUGUAAUUUUGCUUGAAGAAUUAAGUCAUGUAAUGUAAUUACAAGUAAUGUAAAGUGGAAAUUAAAGUCAGUAUACAGCAAUUUCUUAAUAAAAAACCAUUUUCUACCUACUGUAUCUAUAAA
Molecule: long non-coding RNA, 1481 nt
Filed under: Scleropages formosus (Asian bonytongue)
Lineage: Eukaryota; Metazoa; Chordata; Actinopteri; Osteoglossiformes; Osteoglossidae
Description: lncRNA (ENSSFOG00015026423.1)
Source: RNAcentral